UUAAACUACAACCAUAGAAUAAGACGGAAUGAAUUUUUUUAAAAUUUCUAAGUUACUUUUAAUAUGUUUUAUCGUAGUUGCCCUGUUUGGAGAUCCAGCGGUGGCAGGCAAAAGUAAAAAACAUAAACCUAAACCCAAACCCAAACCGAAACCCCAAUUGAGACCGAACGUUAACAUCAGAACACACAUAAAUAUCAAAGUGGGCUAAAUUAAAGGCUUAAUUUAAGAAAUAUUUUAAAUAAAAAUUAAAUAAAUUAAAAACCA
Long non-coding RNA from Stomoxys calcitrans (stable fly), 264 nucleotides. RefSeq lists it as uncharacterized. NCBI's taxonomy places the organism in Eukaryota, Metazoa, Arthropoda, Insecta, Diptera, Muscidae. The record is from RefSeq and is a predicted model, not a curated record. The transcript has 2 exons.